GAGGGUAUAGCUCAGUGGUAGAGCGCAUGCUUAGCAUCCGUGAGAUCCUGGGUUCAGUUCAAUCCCCAGUACCUCCA
Molecule: transfer RNA, 77 nt
Filed under: Camelus bactrianus (Bactrian camel)
Lineage: Eukaryota; Metazoa; Chordata; Mammalia; Artiodactyla; Camelidae
Also listed under: 2 other names
Rfam family: tRNA
About the family: Transfer RNA (tRNA) molecules are approximately 80 nucleotides in length. Their secondary structure includes four short double-helical elements and three loops (D, anti-codon, and T loops). Further hydrogen bonds mediate the characteristic L-shaped molecular structure. tRNAs have two regions of fundamental functional importance: the anti-codon, which is responsible for specific mRNA codon recognition, and the 3' end, to which the tRNAs corresponding amino acid is attached (by aminoacyl-tRNA synthetases). tRNAs cope with the degeneracy of the genetic code in two manners: having more than one tRNA (with a specific anti-codon) for a particular amino acid; and 'wobble' base-pairing, i.e. permitting non-standard base-pairing at the 3rd anti-codon position.
Source: Rfam by way of RNAcentral